AUUGAACGCUGGCGGCAGGCCUAACACAUGCAAGUCGAGCGGUAGCACAGGAGAGCUUGCUCUCUGGGUGACGAGCGGCGGACGGGUGAGUAGUGUCUGGGAAACUGCCUGAUGGAGGGGGAUAACUACUGGAAACGGUAGCUAAUACCGCAUAACGUCUUCGGACCAAAGUGGGGGACCUUCGGGCCUCACGCCAUCAGAUGUGCCCAGAUGGGAUUAGCUAGUAGGUGGGGUAAUGGCUCACCUAGGCGACGAUCUUUAGCUGGUUUGAGAGGAUGAUCAGCCACACUGGGACUGAGACACGGCCCAGACUCCUACGGGAGGCAGCAGUGGGGAAUCUUAGACAAUGGGGGCAACCCUGAUCUAGCAAUACCGCGUGUGUGAAGAAGGCCCUAGGGUUGUAAAGCACUUUUGUCAGGGAGAAUGGCAUAUAUAGUUAAUACCUAUAGAUGCUGAUGUUA
RNAcentral lists this ribosomal RNA (461 nucleotides) under uncultured Serratia sp. Its description in RNAcentral is "bacterial SSU rRNA". It matches the Rfam family "Bacterial small subunit ribosomal RNA", at positions 30 to 487 of the family's 1533-position model. The record is from RNAcentral. Lineage: Bacteria; Pseudomonadati; Pseudomonadota; Gammaproteobacteria; Enterobacterales; Yersiniaceae.